Molecule: unclassified non-coding RNA, 187 nt
Filed under: uncultured Hyphodontia
Lineage: Eukaryota; Fungi; Basidiomycota; Agaricomycetes; Corticiales; Corticiaceae
Description: sequence contains ITS2
Source: RNAcentral
AAUCAUCAACUCCUUUACUUUAUUGUGAAGUGAGCUUGGAUUUGGAGACUGCUGGUGCAAAUCAGCUUCUCUUGAAUGUAUUAGCUGGAAUUCAGUUUGCAGCAUAUAUGCGGUGUGAUAAUGUCGUCACUGCGUAGCUGGUAUUCUGUCUGGCUUCUAAUCGUCCUUUACUUGGACAACUUGAUCA